Molecule: RNA transcript, 3345 nt
Organism: Setaria italica (foxtail millet)
Lineage: Eukaryota; Viridiplantae; Streptophyta; Magnoliopsida; Poales; Poaceae
Exons: 10
Source: RefSeq, a predicted model, not a curated record
CUCCGCGGGGCCCGCCAUCGCGUCCAACGCCCAAGCCGGCCCCAAAUCCAACUGCUCCCCUUCCCGGGCCGCUCAGCUGAGCUGACGGCCUCGCCGGUCUCCUCUCCAGUCUCCCCUGCCUCCGGCGGAUCGCGCGUCGUCUCGCCUCGCUGCGACCAAGCUCCCCACGACGACCAGCGGUUCUCCUCUCCGGUGGUGGACACUUUUGGACCAAUUGAAGUAAACUACCCGGAAUUUCAUUGGGCAAACUUAUGAGCACGGUGGAGGAAGAUGGCUAUAGUUCACGGUGCGACCUGUGCGAUACAGAGGUCAUACACAGCAUGACGGAACUCCUGCUUCAGGGAUUGGCCACUGCUUCGGUGGACAGCACCACCGGCGAUAUAUUCAAGAGUGCAUCUUCUGUAGCUGUCGCUGUGAAGGCCGAGCUAGAAAAUUACAUGCUUGUGAGAACCGAAGCGCUUGUUCGUGAAUCGGUGGUUGGAGAUGAGGACCAUUCGGAACAAUUAAUGAAAGCAUCAACAAGGCCGACUGAGUUCCUGUCAGACUUGAUUGAUGACUUUGUGGCUUUGAAAAAGAAUGUGCUGAGCCAUGUGUCCGGGUUUUUGUCUAGUGAAAGCCGCUUGAACAAAAUUAAAGAUUUUAUGCAAAAGAUGGAGACUGAGAAUGUGUGGGCACUGGACGCAAGGAAGGCUACCGCAGAGACUAUUCUUGUGAGCAUAGAUAUGAAAUGCAUUUUCCAUUGCCCCGAGAGAUUCGUUGAGCAAGAUAAGCUAGCUGACCACAGAAGUCAGUGCAAAUUUAGGGUAGUGGACUGCAAAAAUGAUGGAUGUUCAGCUUCAUUUUCUGCCAUUCAUAUUGAGGACCAUGACUCCAUCUGUCCGUUUAAGGCCCUGCCAUGUGACCAGCUGUGCGAGCAACAUGUUAUGCGUUGUGAGAUGGACAGACAUUGUGCAACAGUUUGCCCUAUGAAGCUUAUUAACUGUCCUUUUUACCACGUUGGAUGCGAAACAGCCUUUCCACAGGGUAAUCUUGAUAAUCAUUGUUCUAAGCUACUUCAAACACAUAUGUUGUAUGUUCUCCAAGCAACCACAAGACAGAAUGCUACCGUUAAUGAUAUGAAUCAACGGUUACAACUCCUUGAGAAGGCUCAGUCACUUAACGAAAUGUCUGGGGCUUUAGAUGUCAGGUCCCUCACUCUGAUAAUAAAGGAGCAAGAAGCAAAGAUCAAGAAACUCGAGCACGAUAUCAAAACACAAGAGGCAAAGAUGAAGAAGCUUGAGAAUGAGUUUAGGUCAAGGAAUGCAUGAUAAUUGGAAAUCAAGUUGCACCAGUCCCUCAAGAUGUUUAGAUUUUUCCUUUUCUUUUGAAGCUUGUAUCAAACAUCAACUUUGACCUAUUUUGUUGGAAAUGAAAUGGAAUGCCUCCAACUCUCCAUGGUCUGAAGCGUCUUUGUGUGGAUGCAAUUCCAUAUGUGGCUUUCCACACAGCUUUUCUUGGAUGUCUCCACAACGUCAUUGUUGGCUUGGCUGUUUCACAGCUUCCAGGAUGUGAUCACAAUCACCAUAUAAAAUCUUGCAAACUUGUUUGUACUGCGCUUGUAUAUGUGCAUGGCAGUCUGUACAUGAUUUUCAUAUGCAGGUUUUCACGGCGAAGAUGCCAUCACAAUCUCGUCACUGUCCUGGCUAUUUGACUCGGAUCGGAGGAAAUAAUCACAAGCAGCCUCUAAAAUCUUGCAAACUUCUCUCCUGUACUGCACCAGAAUACCAGAUCAUGUCAAAACAAACCAUCAAAUAGUGUUUUUGAUUAGAUCAAUAUUGGUUUCUUUAUUUAUUACACAAUUUUAUUGGUCAUUAUAACUAGAGGUAGUUGUGUGAUGCAUAUCAACUUGGAGUCACUUUAUCAUAUUUUUGUCACAUUCCUAAUUUGACAGUAGUAGUGACUGAAAGCCAAAUUGGUCCAAGAAAUUAGGAUUCUGAAGUCUAAAUUGCUGUCCUUCCUUUUUCUUAUGUUAUGGAGAUGUGAAAUGUCAGUGGUACAUAUUCUUUAGCUAGGAGACCAUAUCGAAUAUGUUGUUGCAUACCUCAUCAGUUGCUCCAGAUUUUAUUCUGGAUUGCAAUAUGCACCAUUUCUUCAUGUUUACCCCUGUUAUGUGCAGAAAAUAAUGUAAUAUUAUCGUAAAUAUGUUUCGACUGAAUAGAUUUAAUGGAAGUCCAGUUUAACUAACCAAUCUUUAUAUUCACUUGACAUGUUGAACUGGAGGUUGUUCUUAGCGACCACCUGCUGUGGAUCUGUAAGAAAGGGAAGAACUUCUGCAAGAUAAGUCAUAUCAGAAUAUGAAAUGGAUUAUACAUCAGAAGAAUUAGCAAAACGAAGUGGGAUGCUCACACUGGUUACAUCUGCAAGAACAUGUUCAUUGAUGAAAGAAGUACAUGUGCUCUCACCUGCAUGUGGGGACAACAAGCAUAAAUAUCAGGCAAUUUCCACAAGACGAAGUGGAAAGAUAUGAAAUGAUAAAGCUUGAACACUUUCUGGAUACCUUUUUUUCAGCCUCCAAGGUUGCUUCAUAACUUCGUAGUGCAAUCUCUAGAGCUCUAAAUCAUGGAAGCUGAAAAACAAUGCACAUGAGUUAUUUCUUGGAGUUAUUGUGAGAUGCUACGUCUGCUACUGGUUUACUUGUACAGGAGUACUUCAGCUUGAAAACGGAUACAUUGAUUUGUAUGUCAGCUCUUUCAACCAAAAGAAGGCAGAUGCUGAAGCCAGAAAAGAGCUAUAUGGUUUGCAUACCUCGUCUAUGUCUUGUAAUGGAAUAAUCACCUAAAGAAUUCAGAUAUUAGAGAAGGAACUCAAUGAAAAAUUGGUCUAAAAUUUCUUCUCACUAAUUUCAUACUGUUACCUAUUGGUUUCGGUACCUUAUUUGUGCCAUGUAGGUACUAAUAUUUAUAUAAGCGGGGAUAACAACUAAAUUUCUACAGAUUUUCUGAGGCAGAUGAGAUGUGUUUGUCUCCAGUAUUCACCAAUUAUAAAUCAAGCAGCAAUAUUAAGUUGAAAGGAGCCAUUUUCGGAAGAAUUGCUUACAUUCAAUUGUUUGGAGAAUACGUUAGAGUGGAAGCACAGAUGCCAUUGGGAGAUGUACAUACGGCCAUGGUGCAAGAAACACCUCUCCAGAGCACAGGAGUAACUUUGGUGAACAAUCUGAAAGCAUAAGAAUAAAUCGGAUGUGUCAGAAAUUAUCAGUUCCGAUGAGUAUGGUGCAUGUCUGCAUAUGUAAUUAUAAUUUGUCGAGAGUAAGUACUUCAUCAUGGGGAAGUUUAUAUAUGGUUUGCAGAGGGCCAAUGCCUUCAAUCA